GACGAACGCUGGCGGCGUGCUUAACACAUGCAAGUCGAACGGAAAGGCCCUGCUUUUGUGGGGUGCUCGAGUGGCGAACGGGUGAGUAACACGUGAGUAACCUGCCCUUGACUUUGGGAUAACUUCAGGAAACUGGGGCUAAUACCGGAUAGGAGCUCCUGCUGCAUGGUGGGGGUUGGAAAGUUUCGGCGGUUGGGGAUGGACUCGCGGCUUAUCAGCUUGUUGGUGGGGUAGUGGCUUACCAAGGCUUUGACGGGUAGCCGGCCUGAGAGGGUGACCGGCCACAUUGGGACUGAGACACGGCCCAGACUCCUACGGGAGGCAGCAGUGGGGAAUAUUGCACAAUGGGCGGAAGCCUGAUGCAGCAACGCCGCGUGCGGGAUGACGGCCUUCGGGUUGUAAACCGCUUUCGCCUGUGACGAAGCGUGAGUGACGGUAAUGGGUAAAGAAGCACCGGCUAACUACGUGCCAGCAGCCGCGGUGAUACGUAGGGUGCGAGCGUUGUCCGGAUUUAUUGGGCGUAAAGGGCUCGUAGGUGGUUGAUCGCGUCGGAAGUGUAAUCUUGGGGCUUAACCCUGAGCGUGCCUUCGAUACGGGUUGACUUGAGGAAGGUAGGGGAGAAUGGAAUUCCUGGUGGAGCGGUGGAAUGUGCAGAUAUCAGGAGGAACACCAGUGGCGAAGGCGGUUCUCUGGGCCUUUCCUGACGCUGAGGAGCGAAAGCGUGGGGAGCGAACAGGCUUAGAUACCCUGGUAGUCCACGCUGUAAACGGUGGGUACUAGGUGUGGGGUCCAUUCCACGGGUUCCGUGCCGUAGCUAACGCUUUAAGUACCCCGCCUGGGGAGUACGGCCGCAAGGCUAAAACUCAAAGGAAUUGACGGGGCCCCGCACAAGCGGCGGAGCAUGCGGAUUAAUUCGAUGCAACGCGUAGAACCUUACCUGGGUUUGACAUGGAUCGGGAGUGCUCAGAGAUGGGUGUGCCUCUUUUGGGGUCGGUUCACAGGUGGUGCAUGGCUGUCGUCAGCUCGUGUCGUGAGAUGUUGGGUUAAGUCCCGCAACGAGCGCAACCCUUGUUCACUGUUGCCAGCACGUUAUGGUGGGGACUCAGUGGAGACCGCCGGGGUCAACUCGGAGGAAGGUGGGGAUGACGUCAAGUCAUCAUGCCCCUUAUGUCCAGGGCUUCACGCAUGCUACAAUGGCUGGUACAGAGAGUGGCGAGCCUGUGAGGGUGAGCGAAUCUCGGAAAGCCGGUCUCAGUUCGGAUUGGGGUCUGCAACUCGACCUCAUGAAGUCGGAGUCGCUAGUAAUCGCAGAUCAGCAACGCUGCGGUGAAUACGUUCCCGGGGCU
Molecule: ribosomal RNA, 1346 nt
Filed under: uncultured bacterium
Lineage: Bacteria
Description: partial 16S ribosomal RNA
Rfam family: Bacterial small subunit ribosomal RNA
Source: RNAcentral